Molecule: ribosomal RNA, 301 nt
Filed under: uncultured bacterium
Lineage: Bacteria
Description: partial 16S ribosomal RNA
Rfam family: Bacterial small subunit ribosomal RNA
Source: RNAcentral
CAGUCGCCGCGGUAAUACGUAGGGCGCAAGCGUUAUCCGGAAUUAUUGGGCGUAAAGAGCUCGUAGGCGGUUUGUCGCGUCUGCCGUGAAAGUCCGGGGCUCAACCCCGGAUCUGCGGUGGGUACGGGCAGACUAGAGUGAUGUAGGGGAGACUGGAAUUCCUGGUGUAGCGGUGAAAUGCGCAGAUAUCAGGAGGAACACCGAUGGCGAAGGCAGGUCUCUGGGCAUUAACUGACGCUGAGGAGCGAAAGCAUGGGGAGCGAACAGGAUUAGAUACCCCAGUAGUCCCUGUCUCUUAUAC